Molecule: ribosomal RNA, 496 nt
Filed under: uncultured bacterium
Lineage: Bacteria
Description: partial 16S ribosomal RNA
Rfam family: Bacterial small subunit ribosomal RNA
Source: RNAcentral
GAUGAACGCUGGCGGCGUGCCUAAUACAUGCCAGUCGAGCGAACAGACGAGGAGCUUGCUCCUCUGACGUUAGCGGCGGACGGGUGAGUAACACGUGGAUAACCUACCUAUAAGACUGGGAUAACUUCGGGAAACCGGAGCUAAUACCGGAUAAUAUAUUGAACCGCAGGGUUCAAGAGUGAAAGACGGUUUUGCUGUCACUUAUAGAUGGACCCGCUCCGCAUUAGCUAUUUGGUAAGGUAACGGCUUACCAAGGCAACGAUGCGUAGCCGACCUGAGAGGGUGUUAGGCCACCUGGGACUUGGACACCGUUCCGACCCCCUCGGGAGGCAGCAGUAGGGAAUCUUCCGCAAUGGGCGAAAGCCUGACGGAGCAACGCCGCGUGGGUGAUGAAGGUCUUCGGAUCGUAAAACUCUGUUAUUAGGGAAGAACAACUGUGUAAGUAACUAUGCACGUCUUGACGGUACCUAAUGAGAAAGCCACGGCUAACUUCGUG